CAGAUUUUUUUGGUUCGAGUUGCAACAUUAUGAACAUUCAAUGAGGUUUGCCUUUUACACACCUUCCAUUUUUAUUUCUUCUUAUAAAUGACAUCUAUUUUAUAUCUUCAGUCUAUUUGAUUUUUUAACAAGAAUAUCUAUAACAUCUAAUAAAGGUAAAACACUCUUUAGGUGUAGCCUAUUUUAUCUACACUCUUUUUAAUUUUUGAUAUUUUUGUCACGUUCAAUAAUUAAUUGGUACAGUUUUUCUUUUCAAAUUUGUUCUUAUGUUCACCAAAGUUUGUUACAGUUUGAGGCAGGAAAGAGGAAAACCCAACAUCUUUUUCAAAGUGCAAGUGACUGUUUAUAUAUGAGUUUAUGACAAUGCCAAUAUGCCAUUCAUUGUUAUCAUAGAAGAAAAAAAACAUGCAAUUUAACAUGCAUUUCUGGCACUAUCGUCAUAUAAGUUACUCCAAUUGAUGCAUCUUCUUAUAAUUUGCACUUUUGAUUAUCAAUCACUAUUUUGUAUCUUUUUCAGUUUGUAGAUGCCCUCAAAUUAACAAUCCAGAAAGCAAAGAGGAAAAAAUACAUCUUCCAAACACAAAAGAAAGGGGGAAAGAAAAAGAAAAUGGUAGGAAAGUAGGGGAUAUGGAGGUCACCCUCUAAGGGUGGCUUCAACGUAGACUAUACUCUCUUGGCAAUCACACCAAUGAUGGAAGGAUAAAGGUUGCGCAAAAGACCGAGAAAGUGGUUUAUUCAUAGUUUUCAUUGCAUGUUACAAAGUUUUAACGAAAGCACAUUCACUUUGUUUUGAAAACAUUGAUUGUUUUCUUCUAAAUUUUUUAGAUUCUUUUUAGUUAAUUUCUACUCUUAAUUUUAUCUCCAACUAAUUUACUUCUUCCCCUUGAUUUUGUGUAGUGACGUUGCGAUGCAAAUUGAAAGGAUGGCCAUUUAUUAUAAUUAAGAAACUCUAAUGGAAAGAGAUAACGAAAAAAAUUUAAGGGGGG
RNAcentral lists this long non-coding RNA (986 nucleotides) under Medicago truncatula (barrel medic). Its description in RNAcentral is "long non-coding RNA (MTRU_LNC003158)". The record is from RNAcentral. Lineage: Eukaryota; Viridiplantae; Streptophyta; Magnoliopsida; Fabales; Fabaceae.